UGAGAGGGUUGUAUACGUCGUUAAUCUUCGUUUUGAUGUAUGCGACCUCCCAUCCAUCCUUCUUCUCUGCCAAACUUUCCGGUUCUGCAGGAAUCUGGGAUGUCUGUGGCUUGACGUCGAUCGAUGUUGCUUUGUUGGCGUCGACUGAUGGUGAUGUCAUAGCUUCUUUCUCAAGAAUGUGCUGCAUACUCUAAAUCUCUGUCCUCAUCUCUGCCAUACUUCUGAAACGCUCAUUGUAACCUCUGUCCAAAGGUUGAUAAGUGUCAUCUACCAAUGUAUUGAGUUCAUCUCCUAGUUUUUCCUGAGC
RNAcentral lists this long non-coding RNA (307 nucleotides) under Brassica napus (rape). Its description in RNAcentral is "long non-coding RNA (BNAP_LNC010914)". Lineage: Eukaryota; Viridiplantae; Streptophyta; Magnoliopsida; Brassicales; Brassicaceae. The record is from RNAcentral.